Molecule: non-coding RNA, 191 nt
Filed under: Lactonifactor longoviformis
Lineage: Bacteria; Bacillati; Bacillota; Clostridia; Eubacteriales; Clostridiaceae
Also listed under: 1 other name
Source: RNAcentral
AAAUGAAUAACCAGAUGCGGUCUGCCGAAGUUAUUAUCGGCGUUUAUCAGGAAUUCGGUGAGAAUCCGAAACAGUCUAUCUCUACUGUAAAAGGGACGAACGCAGCAUUGGCCACUGAAAUAAUGAUUUGGGAAGGCGCUGUCAGUAGGAGGAACUUGAGUCAGGAUAUUGGACGCAUUGUGUGGAGGUUA